Molecule: unclassified non-coding RNA, 408 nt
Filed under: soil metagenome
Description: partial contains 5.8S ribosomal RNA, internal transcribed spacer 2, and large subunit ribosomal RNA
Rfam family: 5.8S ribosomal RNA (bases 1-121)
Source: RNAcentral
GAUGAAGAACGCAGCGAAAUGCGAUAAGUAGUGUACAUUGCAGAAGUACCGUGAAUCAUCGAAUCUUUGAACGCAAAUUGCACUCUCUGGUAUUCCGGGGAGUAUGCCUGUUUGAGGGUCGCUUAACAAACCAUCGAUUUCGUUGCUUUUUUUUUUAAAGUGAUGUUUAUCGGAUUUGAGCCGUCUUUUUUUUUAUAUUUAAGUGGCUUAAAAUUGAUUUUUUUGGUACGAUCGAAGCGUAUUUUUAUGAUCAAUUUUUGGUUAAAGAAACGCACACGUACCGUUAUUUAUAUGAUGUAAUACGUUUGACUAUUGGAUUUAGUUCAUUCGUAUACGAUAUCUUUCAAUAUUUGACCUCAAAUCAGGUAAGAACACCCGCUGAACUUAAGCAUAUCAAUAAGCGGAGGA